Molecule: ribosomal RNA, 2673 nt
Filed under: Escherichia coli
Lineage: Bacteria; Pseudomonadati; Pseudomonadota; Gammaproteobacteria; Enterobacterales; Enterobacteriaceae
Description: partial 23S ribosomal RNA
Rfam family: Bacterial large subunit ribosomal RNA
Source: RNAcentral
UCAACCGAGAUUCCCCCAGUAGCGGCGAGCGAACGGGGAGGAGCCCAGAGCCUGAAUCAGUGUGUGUGUUAGUGGAAGCGUCUGGAAAGGCGCGCGAUACAGGGUGACAGCCCCGUACACAAAAAUGCACAUACUGUGAGCUCGAUGAGUAGGGCGGGACACGUGGUAUCCUGUCUGAAUAUGGGGGGACCAUCCUCCAAGGCUAAAUACUCCUGACUGACCGAUAGUGAACCAGUACCGUGAGGGAAAGGCGAAAAGAACCCCGGCGAGGGGAGUGAAAAAGAACCUGAAACCGUGUACGUACAAGCAGUGGGAGCCUCUUUAUGGGGUGACUGCGUACCUUUUGUAUAAUGGGUCAGCGACUUAUAUUCUGUAGCAAGGUUAACCGAAUAGGGGAGCCGAAGGGAAACCGAGUCUUAACUGGGCGUUAAGUUGCAGGGUAUAGACCCGAAACCCGGUGAUCUAGCCAUGGGCAGGUUGAAGGUUGGGUAACACUAACUGGAGGACCGAACCGACUAAUGUUGAAAAAUUAGCGGAUGACUUGUGGCUGGGGGUGAAAGGCCAAUCAAACCGGGAGAUAGCUGGUUCUCCCCGAAAGCUAUUUAGGUAGCGCCUCGUGAAUUCAUCUCCGGGGGUAGAGCACUGUUUCGGCAAGGGGGUCAUCCCGACUUACCAACCCGAUGCAAACUGCGAAUACCGGAGAAUGUUAUCACGGGAGACACACGGCGGGUGCUAACGUCCGUCGUGAAGAGGGAAACAACCCAGACCGCCAGCUAAGGUCCCAAAGUCAUGGUUAAGUGGGAAACGAUGUGGGAAGGCCCAGACAGCCAGGAUGUUGGCUUAGAAGCAGCCAUCAUUUAAAGAAAGCGUAAUAGCUCACUGGUCGAGUCGGCCUGCGCGGAAGAUGUAACGGGGCUAAACCAUGCACCGAAGCUGCGGCAGCGACGCUUAUGCGUUGUUGGGUAGGGGAGCGUUCUGUAAGCCUGCGAAGGUGUGCUGUGAGGCAUGCUGGAGGUAUCAGAAGUGCGAAUGCUGACAUAAGUAACGAUAAAGCGGGUGAAAAGCCCGCUCGCCGGAAGACCAAGGGUUCCUGUCCAACGUUAAUCGGGGCAGGGUGAGUCGACCCCUAAGGCGAGGCCGAAAGGCGUAGUCGAUGGGAAACAGGUUAAUAUUCCUGUACUUGGUGUUACUGCGAAGGGGGGACGGAGAAGGCUAUGUUGGCCGGGCGACGGUUGUCCCGGUUUAAGCGUGUAGGCUGGUUUUCCAGGCAAAUCCGGAAAAUCAAGGCUGAGGCGUGAUGACGAGGCACUACGGUGCUGAAGCAACAAAUGCCCUGCUUCCAGGAAAAGCCUCUAAGCAUCAGGUAACAUCAAAUCGUACCCCAAACCGACACAGGUGGUCAGGUAGAGAAUACCAAGGCGCUUGAGAGAACUCGGGUGAAGGAACUAGGCAAAAUGGUGCCGUAACUUCGGGAGAAGGCACGCUGAUAUGUAGGUGAAGCGACUUGCUCGUGGAGCUGAAAUCAGUCGAAGAUACCAGCUGGCUGCAACUGUUUAUUAAAAACACAGCACUGUGCAAACACGAAAGUGGACGUAUACGGUGUGACGCCUGCCCGGUGCCGGAAGGUUAAUUGAUGGGGUUAGCGGUAACGCGAAGCUCUUGAUCGAAGCCCCGGUAAACGGCGGCCGUAACUAUAACGGUCCUAAGGUAGCGAAAUUCCUUGUCGGGUAAGUUCCGACCUGCACGAAUGGCGUAAUGAUGGCCAGGCUGUCUCCACCCGAGACUCAGUGAAAUUGAACUCGCUGUGAAGAUGCAGUGUACCCGCGGCAAGACGGAAAGACCCCGUGAACCUUUACUAUAGCUUGACACUGAACAUUGAGCCUUGAUGUGUAGGAUAGGUGGGAGGCUUUGAAGUGUGGACGCCAGUCUGCAUGGAGCCGGCCUUGAAAUACCACCCUUUAAUGUUUGAUGUUCUAACGUUGGCCCCUGAUCGGGGUUGCGGACAGUGUCUGGUGGGUAGUUUGACUGGGGCGGUCUCCUCCUAAAGAGUAACGGAGGAGCACGAAGGUUGGCUAAUCCUGGUCGGACAUCAGGAGGUUAGUGCAAUGGCAUAAGCCAGCUUGACUGCGAGCGUGACGGCGCGAGCAGGUGCGAAAGCAGGUCAUAGUGAUCCGGUGGUUCUGAAUGGAAGGGCCAUCGCUCAACGGAUAAAAGGUACUCCGGGGAUAACAGGCUGAUACCGCCCAAGAGUUCAUAUCGACGGCGGUGUUUGGCACCUCGAUGUCGGCUCAUCACAUCCUGGGGCUGAAGUAGGUCCCAAGGGUAUGGCUGUUCGCCAUUUAAAGUGGUACGCGAGCUGGGUUUAGAACGUCGUGAGACAGUUCGGUCCCUAUCUGCCGUGGGCGCUGGAGAACUGAGGGGGGCUGCUCCUAGUACGAGAGGACCGGAGUGGACGCAUCACUGGUGUUCGGGUUGUCAUGCCAAUGGCACUGCCCGGUAGCUAAAUGCGGAAGAGAUAAGUGCUGAAAGCAUCUAAGCACGAAACUUGCCCCGAGAUGAGUUCUCCCUGAGACUUUAAGUCUCCUGAAGGAACGUUGAAGACGACGACGUUGAUAGGCCGGGUGUGUAAGCGCAGCGAUGCGUUGAGCUAACCGGUACUAAUGAACCGUGAGG